AACGCUGGCGGCGUGCUUAACACAUGCAAGUCGAACGCGAAAGGGACUUCGGUCCUGAGUAAAGUGGCGCACGGGUGAGUAACGCGUAGAUAACCUGUCUUCAUGUCUGGAAUAAUACGCCGAAAGGGGUACUAAUACCGGAUAUUCUUGCUUUUCAUAAGUUAUGCAAGCAAAGGUGGCCUCUGCAUAUGCUACUGCAUGAAGAGGGGUCUGCGUACCAUUAGCUAGUAGGUGGGGUAAUGGCCUACCUAGGCGACGAUGGUUAACGGGUCUGAGAGGAUGAUCCGCCACACUGGCACUGGAACACGGGCCAGACUCCUACGGGAGGCAGCAGUGAGGAAUAUUGCGCAAUGGGGGAAACCCUGACGCAGCGACGCCGCGUGAGUGAGGAAAGGCCUUCGGGUCGUAAAGCUCUGUCAAGAGGAAAGAAGUGUACAAUGGCUAAUACCUGUUGUAUUUGACGGUACCUCUAAAGGAAGCACCGGCUAACUCCGUGCCAGCAGCAGC
Molecule: ribosomal RNA, 507 nt
Filed under: uncultured bacterium
Lineage: Bacteria
Description: bacterial SSU rRNA
Rfam family: Bacterial small subunit ribosomal RNA
Source: RNAcentral